RNAcentral lists this unclassified non-coding RNA (412 nucleotides) under soil metagenome. RNAcentral describes it as "partial contains 5.8S ribosomal RNA, internal transcribed spacer 2, and large subunit ribosomal RNA". The stretch from base 1 to 120 matches the Rfam family "5.8S ribosomal RNA", at positions 35 to 154 of the family's 154-position model. The record is from RNAcentral.
GAUGAAGAACGUAGCGAAAUGCGAUAAGUAAUGUGAAUUGCAGAAUUCAGUGAAUCAUCGAAUCUUUGAACGCACCUUGCGCUCUUUGGUAUUCCGAAGAGCAUGCCUGUUUGAGUGUCAUGAAAAUAUCAACCUUGACUUGGGUUUUGUGCUCUAGUCUCGGCUUGGAAUUGGGUGCUUGCCGCUUUUACGAGCGGCUCACCUUAAAUGUAUUAGCUGGAUCUGUCUUUGAGACUUGGUUUGACUUGGCGUAAUAAGUAUUUCGCUAAGGACAUUCUUCGGAGUGGCCUCGUUUCUAGGACGCUUGUCCGCUUUCAAUACAAGUUCCACCUCGUGGACAUGACUUUUUAUUAUCUGGCCUCAAAUCAGGUAGGACUACCCGCUGAACUUAAGCAUAUCAAUAAGCGGAGGA